This 1213-nucleotide ribosomal RNA is filed under the name Triticum aestivum (bread wheat). RNAcentral's name for it is "partial small subunit ribosomal RNA". The record is from RNAcentral. Lineage: Eukaryota; Viridiplantae; Streptophyta; Magnoliopsida; Poales; Poaceae.
CUUUCUCCCCCUCCUCUCUUCGGCUGGGCCUUCUCUCCUCGUCUCCUCUCUCUCUCUCUCUCUCUCUCUCUCUCUCUCUCUCUCAUGGCGGCGGCCACCUCCUCGUCGGCGGUGGCGGUAUCUACGCCGCAGGGAGUGGCGGAGCGGCGGGGAAUCCCGGCGGCUUCCUUCGUCGAGGAUGUCGAGACCUACCUCCGGCAGGCCGGGCUCGAGGUCAACUCCGCCCUCGCCUUCCUCCAAGAAAGGCUGCAGCAGUACAAAAUGGUGGAGAUGAAACUUUUAGCACAACAAAGAGAACUUCAGGCGAAAAUUCCUGAUAUAGAGAAGUGCUUGGAUAUUGUUGCGACAUUGAAAGCUAAAAAAGCUUUGGGUGAGGCACUCAUAGCUGAUUUUGAAUUAUCCGAGGGAAUCUAUUCGCGUGCUAAAAUUGAGGACUCUGACUCAGUGUGCCUAUGGUUGGGUGCAAAUGUGAUGCUGGAAUACUCCUGUGACGAGGCCAAUGAGCUCUUGAAAAGUAACUUGGAAAAUGCGAGGGCCAGUUUGGAAGUCCUUGUUGGCGAUCUUCAUUUCUUACGGGACCAGCAAACGAUAACUCAGGUUACAAUUGCUCGGAUAUUUAACUGGGACGUGCACCAGCGGAGAAGCAAGCAGUCUGUUAUGAAAGAAACGUGAUCAUCAUAGGGUAUUCGUAGCCAAUGAAAUCAGGUUAUUUUUGUACUUCUUGCUGCCUCUGGUGAUUUAGUCUAUCGUCAUAGUGUGUGUGCUCUUUGCUGGUGAUGGUGCCUUGGCCGCGUGACAGAAAUGUAUCAAUCACAUUCAGUUUUAUGGUGUUGGAACUCUAGACCGUGUGGUGUAGAUGACAUUCGCUUCUGUUUUGGGCUGCAUGUACUUGUUUAGCGCUUGAUGAAACAAAAUUUGCAAAGCUUUUUUUUUAUUACCUUCUUUUCUGGCAUGUUCACUGGUUUUAAAUCCUCUAAAAGAUGAGCUGCUCCAGUGUCAGUUUACAGAGUAUCCUGUUGCAAUGUUUACCAGUUACUGGAUUUCUGCAGGCUGGUUACGGCUAGGUGUUAAUCGAUAGGGUCUCAGGUGGUCAUGCCUAUACGCAGUAUGGUACCAAAUGUUCCUGUCAGAUGUUACUAUUACUCUGUUUUUUCUUAAGAAAUGUUAAAAGAAUCUGACAUCAGUUUUUUAACCAUGGCAAAUCGAAUGUUUU